UGCAAAGAAAGAAGUUAAGAACAAGUAAGAACAGAUCUGACAUCUCUGAAGCUACUAUCAGCAGAAGCACUGGAAAGACCCUUUCCUCCCCCUGCGCCAGGUUUAGCUGAACACGGUGUGAAUUGCUGCUGCUCCAGAAUCCUCUGCUUUGGAAAACAAGACUGUUGUCUUAUCCCAAUCAAAUCAGUUAUUUCAGUCGUGUUGGGGCAAUGUGAAAAUGAGGUGGCAGCAGAGUCCAGGAAAAAAAGGGAGCUGUCAUGUGAAUUGACCUUGAGAUGCAGCACCAGAAUGAGUGACCUUGAGAUGCAGCCAAAUCAGAAAAAAGAGAAAAUCACAAUGUGACUGUAUCAGAUGAAGAUGUCCCAGUCUGCAUUAAUCCUGCUCUAGUUACCUGGAAACUGUCUAUCCAGUUGUAUGUGAAAACCUGGAGCACGUGUCACUGAGCCAAAUUCCAUCAUCUGCCAGUUGGUGUGGAAAAGGGGCCCUUUCUGUCCUUGGGGGCUUGUGUCUCCUGAAGUUCAGCCUUCAGCAGCUACUUGGGAACUUCUGCCACAACUGAGAGCACUGUCUGCUCAGGCAAACCACUUUGCUUGGCCAGCAAUUUUCUAGCACUCCCCUGGGAUGGUGCUGGGAACUACCUUCAUGCUUCAGUUUUAAGGCAUGGCUAACAAGUCACUAUUAAACAUUGGCCCACGUCACAAGAAUCACCAUUUGCUGUCACAGUAAUAAGGGCAGCUGAAGACUCACUGAGAAUCACCAUUCUGUGCCCUUCAAGGAAGUCUCCUCCUAGGACUGGUAUACCAGGAACAGCUGUGCCCAUUCUAGAAGCAAAGCUUAAAGUCCUCCUCCUCUAAUCAACAGUGUGUGUAGGAGUAGACCAAGGCUUCUGCUAAGAGCUGAAAAUAUGGAGAACCAUCACAAUGACUAGACAGUUUUUCAUGGAGCUGCACAACGCUAAGUACCUGGAAAAAAAAGACAUGCCAAAAAGAUGAAGUUAUCAGAGUGAAAGAAUGCACAGUAAGGAAACAGAGUAAAUGGAUCUCUCUGUUGAGGAGGAAAGAAGCCCUGCUCGAGAAAUUGCCAACUGGUUGGUUAUUCUUUGCUGGCCUUCACUCAGCUUCAGAAAAGACUUGGUUUUAUAAGGAUUCAGCUGUCACUGCAAAAUACACAGUGCUGCUCUGUGCAUCCAACCUGACAGAAAACUAUCUCCAAGCAAAAUCAGCAAGUCCUCCUGUCACAAAAAAAAUGAAGUGACAGGUGCUUAGCCUCAUUUUUCAUGCUAGCUUUGCUGUGCCAUUUUCACCAAUAAUGAAGGCAGCUGCCAGAGCUUGAGGAAAUCAGGCGAAAAAUUCAGCUGGCAGUUCAGUAAAUGUUAGCGUGGACAACUAGCCUAGCUCAAGCCUCAGCAGAGGAGCAUCCUAUUAAAGAGAAGAUCCAGGAAGUGCAUGAUUGAACCCGGAUAAAAAGCUUUCAGCUAAGGCCUUCCAGAAAAUGAAUGCUGCAUUCCUCCUGCUGGGACUUUGUGUUGAAGAAGGAAACAGAUGCUUCAUUUGGUUUCUUCUCUCACACAAAAAUCAAUGAAAAAGGUUGUGUUUAUAGUGCUGGGAUGCAUUUUUGGGAGAGCAGCCUCCAGCUGGAACCUUAAAAUACUGAAGUGGAACGAUGGGCUGCUGAGACUGCGAUAGUGAUGCAAAAGGUGGUCCAGAAUGUCGAUACCAUGCUAACUUGAAUGCAUAUUACCGAACUGCACUGUUGUAAAAUCAAAUUGUCAUGGUUAAGACACAUCUAUCUGAAUCUCCAACCCUGCAAACCCUCGUGCACUUUAUGCUUUCUCCCCCUUUUACUGGAUGACUUCAAGUCUAUUAGUUCAUCGUUGCUUCAUUUUCCACAGCUGUAAAGUAGCAAUGGGAUGUAUGCCUAGCUGCUGCUCAGGUGAGGUCAAGAGGAGAAAGAGCAGAGAACAGUCAUGUCACUCGUCUGGAAGACCUUUCAAAAAAGUCUUCACCGAUACUAGAAAUGCACACAGUUUCAUUCUGCUCACAUCCAGUACUGAGAAAGUUGACCAGUUGACCGCUUCACCCUAUAAUUCGGUUUCUGCAGCACCUUCCUCCUAUAGAAAUUGUUGACAGAUGGAUUUCUGAUUGUUUUCCUGUGGUCACCAAUGCAAACAAGGGACCCAUCUAAGUGACAGGAGAUACCUGCAUGGGUAACAACUGGUUUGGAAGAAGAUCUAAAAGGAUUUGUGUGGUUCUUCAAAUACUGGAUGUGUAUUGACCCCAGAGUUUCUUCAAAAAGAUGGCCUAAUUCAUUGGACUUUGCCUUCCAUGAUCUGACUGCCAGCGAUGGUUGUCCAGGGAAGUACUCAGAUACUGAGCACUUAAUAUGGCAUUGAAUAUUUAUGCUCUACUGAAGGAGCGGUGCUUAAAAAGCUUGCUAAAGACUUCAGCAUAAAGGGGAAAGCCUUAGGAUUGCGCACUUGGUCUACUGUCACAUGAAGAUGAAGAGUUCUUCGGCCUAUUUGUCAUGCCUGGAAACGUCUAAUCCACUCAUAUAUAUACAUUUAUUUUUCAAAAUAGAAGAGGCAUACCAUUUUCACCCUAUUUCCUCACUGGACUUCUACCUGCAGAAAUUUCUUUGUUUUCAUCAUCUCUUCUUACUUAUUGGUAGACAUGACGAUCUCUUUGGAAAUGUGUGCUCAUCAUGAAAGAACAGAUUAUAUCUCACACUGCUACUUUCAGUGGUUGUGUUCUCUCAUUCUGUCUGUCUUGUGCUUUAGAAUACAAACUUAAAGGUCUGGCUAUACAUGCAAAUUGCACAAGCUGAACUAAAUCACUUCCAAAGUUGAGUUUGGUUCAGUUUAAUUGUUUGGGUAUUUAAACCAGUUACCUAAUUAAACUAAAUCUGUAUUAGUUACAACUAAGCUGAUUUAGGAUUAUGCACAGAAGGGAUUGGAUCUAUUUAAUUAAUUCUGAAAGCAAUUGUUUUAAUUCUGUUGAUACAAUUUCUGUGUUUAGAUUUCACCUUGGAUAUAUUUUUAAAUUGUGAAAAGAACCAGGUAUCUUAAAACCUUGAGAACAUAAGUUUUUUAAAAAAUUUGUGAAAAUUACUUUGUCUAAGCACAAGAGAACUUCCUGAUUGUACCAAGAACAGAAAAAGAAGAGAAAGGGGAGCAAAACAUGAAGCUGAUCUGCCUAAUUUAAUUGUGCAAUACUAACAACUAAAUAUCAAUGAUAGGUUGUGAUCCACAAUCCUAUUACCAAGGCUUAAAGUGCUUUGUAUGAGCUGAGCCUUGCAGGCUGCCCAUAUGAAUCUUUAUAGCACAUAUCAAAUCUUAGAUAAAUUGAUUUAGCUAAGCCCAUACUGUGUGUAAUGGGGCUUUCUCAAAACAUUCUACCUGCUAAGCAUAUAAAAAUACCAUGAGACAAGUGAACACAAUAAACAUAAGAAAAACAGCACGCAUUUAAUGUGUGCUGGCAGUAAGGAGAUAAUCAUGACCAUGGCAUCUGAGAAAGUCUCUACACUGCUUGUACCAUUUGGGGUUUGUCUUCUAACUUCUGGGGCUUCUCAGACUCUCCCCCUUCGUAAUCUGGAUGAUAACAUCCAAUUCAGUAGCAGAGUAAGGCUUUGAUAUUUGUAUCAUGAGGUCCUUGGAGGAAAGGACUGUUUGAAAUAUAGAGAUAUUACAAUUAAGUUUUUUCUUAGUGUUUGUAGACUAUAUUUUGCCCUUUUGCAUUGAUUUGAUAAACCUUUUGCAUUAAGGAUAGCACGCACGCGCACACACUCCUAAAAAGCCUCCCAAAACCAAAAAACCAAAAGUCACAAAAUCCUUAUCCUGUAAUAAGGAGUUGGGAGUGUUUUCCCUUGAAGAUGUGAUGUUCUGCACUCUCUUCUAAAACUAACCUAUGAAUAUUUAAGGCAAAUACUACAUCGCUGUAGUAUUUCUCUGUUCAGAUUGAUCACAUCAGUUUAGAAUACUCUAAA
Molecule: long non-coding RNA, 3981 nt
Organism: Dromaius novaehollandiae (emu)
Lineage: Eukaryota; Metazoa; Chordata; Aves; Casuariiformes; Dromaiidae
Exons: 23
Source: RefSeq, a predicted model, not a curated record